AAAUUGAAGAGUUUGAUCAUGGCUCAGAUUGAACGCUGGCGGCAGGCCUAACACAUGCAAGUCGAACGGUAACAGGAAGCAGCUUGCUGUUUCGCUGACGAGUGGCGGACGGGUGAGUAAUGUCUGGGAAACUGCCUGAUGGAGGGGGAUAACUACUGGAAACGGUGGCUAAUACCGCAUAACGUCGCAAGACCAAAGAGGGGGACCUUCGGGCCUCUUGCCAUCAGAUGUGCCCAGAUGGGAU
RNAcentral lists this ribosomal RNA (244 nucleotides) under Salmonella enterica. Its description in RNAcentral is "partial 16S ribosomal RNA". It matches the Rfam family "Bacterial small subunit ribosomal RNA", at positions 1 to 241 of the family's 1533-position model. Lineage: Bacteria; Pseudomonadati; Pseudomonadota; Gammaproteobacteria; Enterobacterales; Enterobacteriaceae. The record is from RNAcentral.